RNAcentral lists this ribosomal RNA (118 nucleotides) under Perlidae sp. CH-2014. RNAcentral describes it as "partial 16S ribosomal RNA". Lineage: Eukaryota; Metazoa; Arthropoda; Insecta; Plecoptera; Perlidae. The record is from RNAcentral.
AAGAAAUUAAAGGUCGAACAGACCUAAAAACUCAAGCUUCUGCACCCAAAUUUUAAUCUUAAUCCAACAUCGAGGUCGCAAUCCUUUUUGUCGAUAAGAACUCUCUAAAAAGAUUACG